UAUACUAAUAUCUCUGGAGACCACAAGGGAAUAUGCAGAAGGGCACCGGAAAGGUUACAAAUUAUUCUUCUUGUGUCGCGGGUCAAUCUUCACAUUCUAUAUGUUCUAUUUGAGCACAAGCACAAGGGGCACGUACAAACUUCAUUUUCAUUAACCUUAACGUAACCGAGUCUCAUCGUGAUGGGGUUCUGCGGGGCAGCACAAAGAUUCGUUGCGAGUCACGGCAUGUUUGCGUGAAACGAAAGGACACAACAAGAAUUCGUUCGCCCUCCCCCCCGACCCACACGUUCUUUAAGUUGUACAAGGUAACCGUAGGGGAACCUGCGGCUGGAUCACCUCCUUAAUUGAAGAUCCCGGCUUCUUCAUAAGCUCCCACCCGAAUUGCUUGAUUCACUGGUUAGACGAUUGGGUCUGUAGCUCAGUUGGUUAGAGCGCACCCCUGAUAAGGGUGAGGUCGGCAGUUCGAAUCUGCCCAGACCCCCCAAUUGUUGGUGUGCUGCGUGAUCCGAUACGGGGCCAUAGCUCAGCUGGGAGAGCGCCUGCUUUGCACGCAGGAGGUCAGGAGUUCGAUCCUCCUUGGCUCCACCAUCUAAAACAAUCGUCGAAAGCUCAGAAAUGAAUGUUCGUGAAUGAACAUUGAUUUCUGGUCUUUGCACCAGAACUGUUCUUUAAAAAUUCGGGUAUGUGAUAGAAGUAAGACUGAAUGAUCUCUUUCACUGGUGAUCAUUCAAGUCAAGGUAAAAUUUGCGAGUUCAAGCGCGAAUUUUCGGCGAAUGUCGUCUUCACAGUAUAACCAGAUGCUGGGUAUAGACG
This 813-nucleotide unclassified non-coding RNA is filed under the name Pseudomonas aeruginosa. RNAcentral's name for it is "partial 16S-23S ribosomal RNA intergenic spacer". The stretch from base 408 to 481 matches the Rfam family "tRNA". The record is from RNAcentral. Lineage: Bacteria; Pseudomonadati; Pseudomonadota; Gammaproteobacteria; Pseudomonadales; Pseudomonadaceae.